RNAcentral lists this long non-coding RNA (720 nucleotides) under Malus domestica (apple). RNAcentral describes it as "long non-coding RNA (MDOM_LNC000366)". The record is from RNAcentral. Lineage: Eukaryota; Viridiplantae; Streptophyta; Magnoliopsida; Rosales; Rosaceae.
GCGUUUUUGGACCUAAACGUAAAAACGUAAACUUUUGGGCCAAAGUGUAAAUACACAAAAGUAUCAAAACUUUAUGUAAUUGCAUAAAAGCCCCAAAAGUACUCCCAUUGAGGGAGUGGCCGGUUUUGGAGAGGGAAAGGAGUGAUGUGUGUGUUGAUUUGUGAGUUUUGACAUAAAGCAAGCAAGUGGUGCAAGUGGUGUGUGUGAAAGGGAAUUAAUCCUUUCACACCCACCAUUAUUUCUACCACCAUUUAAACAAAUAUCUAACACAUUAAAUCAUUUGAAAAACAUAAAACAUAAAAUUUAUGAAAUAAAUCAAAACUUUGAAUCAAAACACCAAACUUUUUGUUUUUGGCAAAAAUGUCAAGAACAAUGAAGAACACUCAUGAAAAACGCAAAAAAUUUCCAUGAACAUUUUUCACCCAAAAAAACAUCCCAAAACCAUUUAAACUUUAGGGAAAUAACAUAUAACCAAACUAGGGUACAUAGGGGUUCCAAAAAACACUUUAAAACACUUUUAACAAGUCAAGCAAGAACCCAAAAAUCCACCCUUUGGAUUUGGCCGAAUUUUCCCAAAAGCAUGGCACCAAAUUUUAGCUCCAAUAUUCAUGCUCAUAUGAACUACAUCUACAACAUUUGAGAUGGAAAAUUUUCUAACAAAAUUUACAUUCAAAGAAACAAGAAUAAAGCUUGUAACAUAUUACAACUUUUAAAUCACAA